RNAcentral lists this ribosomal RNA (2027 nucleotides) under Escherichia coli. RNAcentral's name for it is "partial 23S ribosomal RNA". It matches the Rfam family "Bacterial large subunit ribosomal RNA", at positions 612 to 2624 of the family's 2925-position model. The record is from RNAcentral. Lineage: Bacteria; Pseudomonadati; Pseudomonadota; Gammaproteobacteria; Enterobacterales; Enterobacteriaceae.
AUAAUGGGUCAGCGACUUAUAUUCUGUAGCAAGGUUAACCGAAUAGGGGAGCCGAAGGGAAACCGAGUCUUAACUGGGCGUUAAGUUGCAGGGUAUAGACCCGAAACCCGGUGAUCUAGCCAUGGGCAGGUUGAAGGUUGGGUAACACUAACUGGAGGACCGAACCGACUAAUGUUGAAAAAUUAGCGGAUGACUUGUGGCUGGGGGUGAAAGGCCAAUCAAACCGGGAGAUAGCUGGUUCUCCCCGAAAGCUAUUUAGGUAGCGCCUCGUGAAUUCAUCUCCGGGGGUAGAGCACUGUUUCGGCAAGGGGGUCAUCCCGACUUACCAACCCGAUGCAAACUGCGAAUACCGGAGAAUGUUAUCACGGGAGACACACGGCGGGUGCUAACGUCCGUCGUGAAGAGGGAAACAACCCAGACCGCCAGCUAAGGUCCCAAAGUCAUGGUUAAGUGGGAAACGAUGUGGGAAGGCCCAGACAGCCAGGAUGUUGGCUUAGAAGCAGCCAUCAUUUAAAGAAAGCGUAAUAGCUCACUGGUCGAGUCGGCCUGCGCGGAAGAUGUAACGGGGCUAAACCAUGCACCGAAGCUGCGGCAGCGACGCUGAUGCGUUGUUGGGUAGGGGAGCGUUCUGUAAGCCUGCGAAGGUGUGCUGUGAGGCAUGCUGGAGGUAUCAGAAGUGCGAAUGCUGACAUAAGUAACGAUAAAGCGGGUGAAAAGCCCGCUCGCCGGAAGACCAAGGGUUCCUGUCCAACGUUAAUCGGGGCAGGGUGAGUCGACCCCUAAGGCGAGGCCGAAAGGCGUAGUCGAUGGGAAACAGGUUAAUAUUCCUGUACUUGGUGUUACUGCGAAGGGGGGACGGAGAAGGCUAUGUUGGCCGGGCGACGGUUGUCCCGGUUUAAGCGUGUAGGCUGGUUUUCCAGGCAAAUCCGGAAAAUCAAGGCUGAGGCGUGAUGACGAGGCACUGCGGUGCUGAAGCAACAAAUGCCCUGCUUCCAGGAAAAGCCUCUAAGCAUCAGGUAACAUCAAAUCGUACCCCAAACCGACACAGGUGGUCAGGUAGAGAAUACCAAGGCGCUUGAGAGAACUCGGGUGAAGGAACUAGGCAAAAUGGUGCCGUAACUUCGGGAGAAGGCACGCUGAUAUGUAGGUGAAGUCCCUCGCGGAUGGAGCUGAAAUCAGUCGAAGAUACCAGCUGGCUGCAACUGUUUAUUAAAAACACAGCACUGUGCAAACACGAAAGUGGACGUAUACGGUGUGACGCCUGCCCGGUGCCGGAAGGUUAAUUGAUGGGGUUAGCGCAAGCGAAGCUCUUGAUCGAAGCCCCGGUAAACGGCGGCCGUAACUAUAACGGUCCUAAGGUAGCGAAAUUCCUUGUCGGGUAAGUUCCGACCUGCACGAAUGGCGUAAUGAUGGCCAGGCUGUCUCCACCCGAGACUCAGUGAAAUUGAACUCGCUGUGAAGAUGCAGUGUACCCGCGGCAAGACGGAAAGACCCCGUGAACCUUUACUAUAGCUUGACACUGAACAUUGAGCCUUGAUGUGUAGGAUAGGUGGGAGGCUUUGAAGUGUGGACGCCAGUCUGCAUGGAGCCGACCUUGAAAUACCACCCUUUAAUGUUUGAUGUUCUAACGUUGACCCGUAAUCCGGGUUGCGGACAGUGUCUGGUGGGUAGUUUGACUGGGGCGGUCUCCUCCUAAAGAGUAACGGAGGAGCACGAAGGUUGGCUAAUCCUGGUCGGACAUCAGGAGGUUAGUGCAAUGGCAUAAGCCAGCUUGACUGCGAGCGUGACGGCGCGAGCAGGUGCGAAAGCAGGUCAUAGUGAUCCGGUGGUUCUGAAUGGAAGGGCCAUCGCUCAACGGAUAAAAGGUACUCCGGGGAUAACAGGCUGAUACCGCCCAAGAGUUCAUAUCGACGGCGGUGUUUGGCACCUCGAUGUCGGCUCAUCACAUCCUGGGGCUGAAGUAGGUCCCAAGGGUAUGGCUGUUCGCCAUUUAAAGUGGUACGCGAGCUGGGUUUAGAACGUCGUGA